GGAGAUCCCACUGCGUCACAAGUAUUAAUGCGCAUGCGCGACAUAGCUACACUGGUAAUGAGAUGUUAAUUAAUUAAAAUUGAUAAUAAAAGGCGAUAAGACGUUAAUAAUGAUCGAACAAACAAAGAUUAUGAAAGAACAAACGAAAAUGAAUAUUAAUUGAUUGAUAACAGGAAGAAUUGAAAUAACGAUAAGUUAAGGGGGGCUAAGUUGAGGUUGAAAAUUUAAUUAUUUAAUUAUAAAUAAACAAUAAGCGAACAAACAACAACAAUCGACGGACAAUAACGAACAAAUGACGAAAAAACGAUUGGAGCAUUGAAAAAUUAAAAAAGUGUGAAAAUCAAUAUUGAUGGGGGCCAGCUUCAGCAAGCCAACUUAGGCCAAGUGAAAGGAAAUGUAUUUAAAGUGAUUAAUAGUUCAAUGACAUAUGUAAACAAACAUAAGGGUUAGUAAAUAAAUAUUAAUUUUUAAUUGUUUAUAUAAAAAACAAUGUUGUGCUUGGUGAAAAACUGUUUAUUAAAGUAUGGAGCUUUAAUUGAUGGAUUAAAAUAAAUAAAACGUUAUUAAAAGUAGUAAUUGUGAUUUAAAAAUUUCUGAUCUGUAGCGUGCAGUGUUAAACGUGAAAUAUUAAUUAAAAGUUGAAUAAAAUUAAGUAAUUUCAAUUAAAGAGUAUAUACAAUCACAGACUUUAGGUUAAAUGUGCAUAAGUCUGAGGAAAAGUUCAAUUGGAGCACUUGCUAGUACUCUAGCUAAGUAUACUAUUUACGGAUACUACUGGUUAUAAGAUGUUAUAAGGUAGCUAGGACGAAUUCUAGAACAAAUUCACUAAGAUGAAAUUGAAGUUUUUGGUGGACUCUGGCUGAGGAUACUAUUUUUACAAAGACUGCUGGUUAUAAAGUAUUUACUAGUUAUGGUGAUUAUUAUCUGGGCAAAUCUGCUCGAGGCUGAUUGGAUGUUAAAUUGGAGCAUUACGUUGGAUCCCGGCUGAGGACUUCCUCUUCAUUGCGAGUACUGGCCAUUAAUUUAUGGAUGUACAGGCUACUUAAAAAAUUUCCCAAUAAAAUUUUCACGGAUUAAAUGAAGAAUUUAAUUGGAACACUCCAAGAGACUACGACUCAGGAUUUUGUUCGAUUUUCUCUGUUGGUAAUCGUACAUUUCUCCAUUAUGAUUUCAUUUUCCAAUAUAUUAAUUAAACAAAUUCCCUGAAUUCGUAUUAAAAAAAAACAAAAACAAAUAUAAAUCAAUUCGUACUAUUAGUAACAAUGAAGACUUUGUCCCUUGUUAAUAAAAAAAAAGUACAUAAAAAAUAAAUAUACUUGUUACUUACUAAUGUUCAAAAAUUUUAUUAUUCUAUAUAUGUAUGUAUUUUAAUUUAUAUAAUUAAAAAAGUAAUCAAUUAUUCUAGAGAGAUUAUUAAUUUUCUUCUAAAUUUUUGUGUUUAUAUUUAACUGUAUUUAACUGGAU
Microplitis demolitor is the source of this 1464-nucleotide long non-coding RNA. RefSeq lists it as uncharacterized. The transcript is spliced from 4 exons. The record is from RefSeq and is a predicted model, not a curated record. Lineage: Eukaryota; Metazoa; Arthropoda; Insecta; Hymenoptera; Braconidae.